UGGAAUACAAGGGCAAGAAGACAGAAGUCUUGAGUCUGCCGAGGAGCUCAGGCCUUCACCGUCACGCUGGGCUUCCAUCUCCAGGGCAGACUCUGCAGCCGUCCAACGCUGGCCCUUUGGCUUUCAACAGACUCGCAUGGGACUGCCGUGAGCUCUGGGCCUCUGGCUUUCAGCUGGGUCCUCUGCUCUCCAGCACACAGACAACCAUUUUGCCUUCUCCACACCUGACUCUGCAGGCGCCAUGGUAACCUUAGCUGGCCUGUGUUGCCACUGGACUGUCUCCCUCUGGCCUGGAAGAUGUCUGCACUGUCCCUGUCCCAUCUGCUAGAAGCUGGCUGAAGGCCUCUCCCGUUCUGCUGAUAGAGAGCUAAGGAGACAGAAGCUUUAAAGACCCAGAGAUUUGAAAGAAGCCACAGCCCUUUUGACAAUCUCCAGGUUUUGGGAUCAGAAUUGUGCUGGCUUUGUGAAGUAACCAGAAAGCUCCCUGCAAUUUCCUUUGGGCUGGCACCGUCUAUGCCACAGGCUCACAAGUUGCUCCGUGAAUACUGACAGGAACUGAACCCCACAACUUCAGGUGUGGACCCCUUUUAGGGAGCAAUAUUUUCAUUUUUCAGGGAUUGUUCUGUUGAUAGUAUACUCAGUCUUCAAUAGGUUUAGGAAAAUUAUCAUU
Fukomys damarensis (Damara mole-rat) is the source of this 670-nucleotide long non-coding RNA. RefSeq lists it as uncharacterized. The record is from RefSeq and is a predicted model, not a curated record. NCBI's taxonomy places the organism in Eukaryota, Metazoa, Chordata, Mammalia, Rodentia, Bathyergidae. The transcript is spliced from 4 exons.